UACGUAGGGUGCGAGCGUUACUCGGAAUUACUGGGCGUAAAGCGUGCGCAGGCGGUUUUUUAAGUCAGAUGUGAAAGCCCUGGGCUUAACCUGGGAAUGGCAUUUGGGACUGCAAGGCUUGAGUGCGGCAGAGGAGACUGGAAUUCCUGGUGUAGCAGUGAAAUGCGUAGAUAUCAGGAGGAAUACCGAUGGCGAAGGCAGGUCUCUGGGCUGACACUGACGCUCAUGCACGAAAGCGUGGGGAGCAAACAGG
This 253-nucleotide ribosomal RNA is filed under the name uncultured bacterium. Its description in RNAcentral is "partial 16S ribosomal RNA". It matches the Rfam family "Bacterial small subunit ribosomal RNA", at positions 524 to 776 of the family's 1533-position model. The record is from RNAcentral.